AAAUUGAAGAGUUUGAUCAUGGCUCAGAUUGAACGCUGGCGGCAGGCCUAACACAUGCAAGUCGAACGGUAACAGGAAGCAGCUUGCUGCUUCGCUGGCGAGUGGCGGACGGGUGAGUAAUGUCUGGGAAACUGCCUGAUGGAGGGGGAUAACUACUGGAAACGGUAGCUAAUACCGCAUAACGUCGCAAGACCAAAGAGGGGGACCUUCGGGCCUCUUGCCAUCGGAUGUGCCCAGAUGGGAUUAGCUAGUAGGUGGGGUAACGGCUCACCUAGGCGACGAUCCCUAGCUGGUCUGAGAGGAUGACCAG
RNAcentral lists this ribosomal RNA (310 nucleotides) under Escherichia coli. RNAcentral describes it as "bacterial SSU rRNA". It matches the Rfam family "Bacterial small subunit ribosomal RNA", at positions 1 to 307 of the family's 1533-position model. The record is from RNAcentral. Lineage: Bacteria; Pseudomonadati; Pseudomonadota; Gammaproteobacteria; Enterobacterales; Enterobacteriaceae.